RNAcentral lists this ribosomal RNA (26 nucleotides) under Citrus reticulata (mandarin orange). RNAcentral describes it as "partial 28S ribosomal RNA". Lineage: Eukaryota; Viridiplantae; Streptophyta; Magnoliopsida; Sapindales; Rutaceae. The record is from RNAcentral.
GCGACCCCAGUCAGGCGGUACCCGUG